Long non-coding RNA from Hemicordylus capensis (graceful crag lizard), 1802 nucleotides. RefSeq lists it as uncharacterized. NCBI's taxonomy places the organism in Eukaryota, Metazoa, Chordata, Lepidosauria, Squamata, Cordylidae. The record is from RefSeq and is a predicted model, not a curated record. The transcript is spliced from 3 exons.
CCUCCUUCCUCCAAUGUGCAUGGGGGUGGGCAGGCAGGCAGCUGGGCGGGUUGUUUGCGGGUGGACACGUCCAACAUGAUGGCUUAAGUUUUCAAGUUGCACUUAAGUCCCUUUUGCAGACCAUCAGCAUGCCUCUCAGCACACAGUUUGGGAAUCACAGUUCUAGUCUUAACAUCUCACUUUGAAAUGAGACAUCUUAUACCAAAUCCCCAAUAGAUGCCUGACCAGCUUUUUCAUCAAAACCUCUACAAGAAAGGAGAUUCUACAAUCUUUCUAGACAUGUAGGCUGACAUGAAGAAAAUUGCUCAGAGUAGUCCCACUGAAAUUGAAAGGAAUGCCUAACUUUUCAAUGGGACUACUUUGUGUAAUUUUCCUCAUCAUGUCAGCCGGUAUUUCAUGGAUCCUACACCACUCCCUGUUGUGUCUGGAUAUUAACAGGUUUUCUCAAAAAACAUAUUUGCACACACUCCCAACUUUUCUUCUAGGCUUAAAUAUGUACCAUUCAGGUUUUCCAGGUUUUCUUUCGGGUUUUCUGUGUCAUCUCCUUACAUCUCCCUGUUUUUAACCUAGAGAUGUACAUAUCUCUAGGUAUCAAAAUAUGGUAUAAAAAUAUAAUACAUAAACAUUCCAAAUUUCUGCAAAAAAAUGCAUGUCCCCAAAUAAAGUUUGCAAUGCAUUUUAAUCAAUCAUUCUUGUCAUAUACAUAUAGUCUCAACAACUGAUUUUUGCAAAGUAACAUAGGCAAAAUCAGGCCAUUACCUCCAAGUCCCUACAAUCUAAAUUAUGGUAUGGGGUAGGUGAGAAGCAAACAUAAUGAAAGAUGAAUGCAAUCAGAUGCCUGCAGGUGUAUGACAUGGUUUUAUUUUUUUAUUGUGAACUGUCCUCAGCCAUUUUUGAAGGGGCAGUAUAUAAAUAAAAUUAAAUAUGCAGCUAAUUUUCAUUUAAUUUAGGAAUGGACUGGGACUAAGGAAUUAAGUCCAAGCUUUUCAGAAGAGGUGAUGUGUAGGGCUAUUUGAGCGACCACGUUGUAGUGAUGGAGCACCUGCUUUGCAUGCAAAAGGUCUCAAAUUCAAUCCCUGGUAGAGCUGGGAAAGACUGAAACCCUAGAGAGAGAGAGCUGCUGCCAGUCAGUGUAGAAAAUACUGAGCUAGAUGGACUAGCAGUCUGACUCGGUAUAAGGCAGUUUCGUGUGGGAUGGAGGAGGACAUUGAGGGGAGGAGAGAGAGGUGGCAGCGCCACAAAGCUGUUCAGGGAGACAAUUUGAGUCAUAAGAGAUAGCAAGGGAAUAAAUCCAUGCUGCAUAGUUGCUGUACAUCUGAACAGGUGCUCAGACCGCGCUGAGUCUAAUCCAGCCAUUUUAGAAGCCCAGUGGAAGCCUUUGGCAAUGCGCAGCACUGAAAUGGGGAUCCCCUCCUCCCUUUCCCACUGGGAGGCGGGGUCUCGGAAUCGCAGCUUCUUGAUUCACCCUAUUGGCGGUUUCCAAGCACUGGGAGUGUCAUGUGAUGCAAACACUACAUUCUGUUCCAGCAGCCAGGCAGAUGAGCUUACAUGAUGGAAAAGAAAAGAGAAGCCUCGGGGAAAGCAGGUGGUGAGAUCUUGAUAACCUGAAUCCUCUUCAGCUGAGCUGUACAACUGCCAAGAGGAAGGGCUGGAGCAGACUCACUUCCUUCACCAAGAACUAAUUUGAGAACAAGCAACAGGAUCCCAUGAGCGGGAAGGUCCAGCACCCAUGCAGCCAAUGCAGGCCUUGGCACAGUCUGGAGAGAAAGGAAGAAGCAGGAUUAAAGGACAAGUACAAAGAC